GUCAGGUUGGCCGAGCGGUCUAAGGCGCCAGAUUUAAGCUCUGGUUCCCGGUUGGGAGCGUGGGUUCGAACCCCACACCUGACA
Non-coding RNA from Rhodnius prolixus, 84 nucleotides. The record is from Rfam. NCBI's taxonomy places the organism in Eukaryota, Metazoa, Arthropoda, Insecta, Hemiptera, Reduviidae.